RNAcentral lists this ribosomal RNA (253 nucleotides) under uncultured bacterium. Its description in RNAcentral is "partial 16S ribosomal RNA". It matches the Rfam family "Bacterial small subunit ribosomal RNA", at positions 524 to 776 of the family's 1533-position model. The record is from RNAcentral.
UACGAAGGGGGCUAGCGUUGCUCGGAUUUACUGGGCGUAAAAGGCGCGUAGGCGGACAGUUUAGUCAGAGGUGAAAGCCCAGGGCUCAACCUUGGAAUUGCCUUUGAUACUGGCUGUCUUGAGUACGGGAGAGGUGAGUGGAACUCCGAGUGUAGAGGUGAAAUUCGUAGAUAUUCGGAAGAACACCAGUGGCGAAGGCGACUCACUGGCCCGUUACUGACGCUGAGGCGCGAAAGCGUGGGGAGCAAACAGG